CUACGGGACGCUGCAGUGGGGAAUAUUGCACAAUGGAGGAAACUCUGAUGCAGCAACGCCGCGUGGAGGAUGACACUUUUCGGAGCGUAAACUCUUUUUAUAUAGGAAGAAGAUGACGGUACUAUAUGAAUAAGCGCCGGCUAACUCCGUGCCAGCAGCCGCGGUAAUACGGAGGGCGCAAGCGUUACUCGGAAUCACUGGGCGUAAAGAGCAUGUAGGCGGAUUAAAAAGUCAGAAGUGAAAUCCUAUAGCUUAACUAUAGAACUGCUUCUGAAACUCUUAAUCUAGAAUAUGGGAGAGGUAGAUGGAAUUUCUGGUGUAGGGGUAAAAUCCGUAGAGAUCAGAAGGAAUACCGAUUGCGAAGGCGAUCUACUAGAACAUUAUUGACGCUGAGACGCGAAAGCGUGGGGAGCAAACAGGAUUAGAUACCCUUGUAGUC
RNAcentral lists this ribosomal RNA (439 nucleotides) under uncultured bacterium. RNAcentral describes it as "partial 16S ribosomal RNA". It matches the Rfam family "Bacterial small subunit ribosomal RNA", at positions 339 to 795 of the family's 1533-position model. The record is from RNAcentral.